ACUCCUACGGGAGGCAGCAGUGGGGAAUAUUGCACAAUGGGCGCAAGCCUGAUGCAGCCAUGCCGCGUGUAUGAAGAAGGCCUUCGGGUUGUAAAGUACUUUCAGCGGGGAGGAAGGCAAUACGGUUAAUAACCGUGUUGAUUGACGUUACCCGCAGAAGAAGCACCGGCUAACUCCGUGCCAGCAGCCGCGGUAAUACGGAGGGUGCAAGCGUUAAUCGGAAUUACUGGGCGUAAAGCGCACGCAGGCGGUCUGUCAAGUCGGAUGUGAAAUCCCCGGGCUCAACCUGGGAACUGCAUUCGAAACUGGCAGGCUUGAGUCUUGUAGAGGGGGGUAGAAUUCCAGGUGUAGCGGUGAAAUGCGUAGAGAUCUGGAGGAAUACCGGUGGCGAAGGCGGCCCCCUGGACAAAGACUGACGCUCAGGUGCGAAAGCGUGGGGAGCAAACAGGAUUAGAUACCCCAGUAGUCCCA
RNAcentral lists this ribosomal RNA (471 nucleotides) under uncultured organism. RNAcentral describes it as "partial 16S ribosomal RNA". It matches the Rfam family "Bacterial small subunit ribosomal RNA", at positions 335 to 797 of the family's 1533-position model. The record is from RNAcentral.